AUUGAACGCUGGCGGCAGGCCUAACACAUGCAAGUCGAGCGGAUGAAGGGAGCUUGCUCCUGGAUUCAGCGGCGGACGGGUGAGUAAUGCCUAGGAAUCUGCCUGGUAGUGGGGGAUAACGUCCGGAAACGGGCGCUAAUACCGCAUACGUCCUGAGGGAGAAAGUGGGGGAUCUUCGGACCUCACGCUAUCAGAUGAGCCUAGGUCGGAUUAGCUAGUUGGUGGGGUAAAGGCCUACCAAGGCGACGAUCCGUAACUGGUCUGAGAGGAUGAUCAGUCACACUGGAACUGAGACACGGUCCAGACUCCUACGGGAGGCAGCAGUGGGGAAUAUUGGACAAUGGGCGAAAGCCUGAUCCAGCCAUGCCGCGUGUGUGAAGAAGGUCUUCGGAUUGUAAAGCACUUUAAGUUGGGAGGAAGGGCAGUAAGUUAAUACCUUGCUGUUUUGACGUUACCAACAGAAUAAGCACCGGCUAACUUCGUGCCAGCAGCCGCGGUAAUACGAAGGGUGCAAGCGUUAAUCGGAAUUACUGGGCGUAAAGCGCGCGUAGGUGGUUCAGCAAGUUGGAUGUGAAAUCCCCGGGCUCAACCUGGGAACUGCAUCCCAAACUACUGAGCUAGAGUACGGUAGAGGGUAGUGGGAAUUUCCCUGUGUAGCGGUGAAAUGCGUAGAUAUAGGAAGGAACACCAUGGCGAAAGGCCACCACCUGGACUGAUGUGACACUGAAGUGCGAAAGCGUGGGGAACAAACGG
RNAcentral lists this ribosomal RNA (753 nucleotides) under uncultured Pseudomonas sp. RNAcentral describes it as "bacterial SSU rRNA". It matches the Rfam family "Bacterial small subunit ribosomal RNA", at positions 28 to 775 of the family's 1533-position model. Lineage: Bacteria; Pseudomonadati; Pseudomonadota; Gammaproteobacteria; Pseudomonadales; Pseudomonadaceae. The record is from RNAcentral.